GAUCUGUUAGCUCAGCUGGGAGAGCACCAUCUUGACAGGGUGGGGGUCGGCGGUUCGAGCCCGUCACAGGUCA
Molecule: transfer RNA, 73 nt
Filed under: Paenibacillus curdlanolyticus
Lineage: Bacteria; Bacillati; Bacillota; Bacilli; Caryophanales; Paenibacillaceae
Description: tRNA-Val
Source: RNAcentral